Molecule: long non-coding RNA, 725 nt
Filed under: Triticum aestivum (bread wheat)
Lineage: Eukaryota; Viridiplantae; Streptophyta; Magnoliopsida; Poales; Poaceae
Description: long non-coding RNA (TAES_LNC024377)
Source: RNAcentral
UUCCUUUAAUAGCUAUAAGUUUUACAUCACCGAGAAACAAAUUCUACAAUAAUGUUGGUAAGCAUCAUAUUCACAUGCCACAGCCAAAAAGAGCAAGCACAUAGUAUUCUAAGAAUGGCCCAUAAAACUAAGCGAUGUAGCAGAGGAAGGUGGCAAACCUUAAUCACAGCACGACAUCCGCUGGCUACUGAUGGAUUGAACAAUACCUGGAAGAAGAACAUAGCAAUACACACAUCAAAAAGAGGCCAAGACAUGGACUGGAUCAAAUGCAUAUCCUACCGGAAAAGAAACAAUAGUUGGAGGUUCGCCAUCAUGGAAGGAGGUGGAUAACAACUUCUUGUUAGAUUUUAUUGGCCACCGCAGAAAUAAAUAGAAAUCGUAACAUCCCCAUGAUUGAUAACAGGAAAUAAUAACUUACCUUCAAAUCUCAGAGAGAGUGGCACACAUAGAGAGUGAGAGAGAGAGGGAGACUUAGACACCAUUCAUCGCAGUAAAAAUGAGUGCACGCCGCAGAACUGAUCAUAUGGGAAGAAUACCCUUCGAAAUUAUAUCCCAAAAGCUAGGCGCAGCCAAUAUAAAUAUACAAUUGUCAGAUAUUAUAAAAUGGUAUUAUAGGUGUGCUAAUGCCUAAAGUGCCAGAACAAAUCAUGCUCAUAUGCACAUGAGCACAUCACAACACAGACAUGCAUAAACACAUCGCAAAUUUCUGAAGAAAAGGGUUGGGG